GACGAACGCUGGCGGCGUGCCUAAUACAUGCAAGUAGAACGCUGAAGGAGGAGCUUGCUUCUCCGGAUGAGUUGCGAACGGGUGAGUAACGCGUAGGUAACCUGCCUGGUAGCGGGGGAUAACUAUUGGAAACGAUAGCUAAUACCGCAUAACAGUAGAUGUUGCAUGACAUUUGCUUAAAAGGUGCAAUUGCAUCACUACCAGAUGGACCUGCGUUGUAUUAGCUAGUUGGUGAGGUAACGGCUCACCAAGGCGACGAUACAUAGCCGACCUGAGAGGGUGAUCGGCCACACUGGGACUGAGACACGGCCCAGACUCCUACGGGAGGCAGCAGUAGGGAAUCUUCGGCAAUGGACGGAAGUCUGACCGAGCAACGCCGCGUGAGUGAAGAAGGUUUUCGGAUCGUAAAGCUCUGUUGUAAGAGAAGAACGAGUGUGAGAGUGGAAAGUUCACACUGUGACGGUAUCUCACCAGAAAGGGACGGCUAACUACGUG
RNAcentral lists this ribosomal RNA (495 nucleotides) under uncultured bacterium. RNAcentral describes it as "partial 16S ribosomal RNA". It matches the Rfam family "Bacterial small subunit ribosomal RNA", at positions 28 to 507 of the family's 1533-position model. The record is from RNAcentral.